AAUAGAUACCCAGGUAGUCCACGCCGUAAACGGUGGGCACUAGGUGUGGGGACCAUUCCACGGUCUCUGCGCCGCAGCUAACGCAUUAAGUGCCCCGCCUGGGGAGUACGGCCGCAAGGCUAAAACUCAAAGGAAUUGACGGGGGGCCCGCACAAGCGGCGGAGCAUGCGGCUUAAUUCGAAGCAACGCGAAGAACCUUACCUAGGCUUGACAUGCAGGGAAAUCUGGCAGAGAUGCCAGGUCCUUCGGGGCCUUGCACAGGUGGUGCAUGGCUGUCGUCAGCUCGUGUCGUGAGAUGUUGGGUUAAGUCCCGCAACGAGCGCAACCCUCGUUCUAUGUUGCCAGCGGUUCGGCCGGGGACUCAUAGAAGACUGCCGGGGUCAACUCGGAGGAAGGUGGGGAUGACGUCAAGUCAUCAUGCCCCUUAUGUCUAGGGCUGCACGCAUGCUACAAUGGUCGGUACAAAGGGCUGCAAUACCGUAAGGUGGAGCGAAUCCCAAAAAGCCGGCCUCAGUUCGGAUUGGGGU
This 527-nucleotide ribosomal RNA is filed under the name uncultured bacterium. RNAcentral describes it as "bacterial SSU rRNA". It matches the Rfam family "Bacterial small subunit ribosomal RNA", at positions 777 to 1304 of the family's 1533-position model. The record is from RNAcentral.